GACGAACGCUUGCGGCGUGCCUAAGAAAUGCAAGUCGAACGGGCAAUCCAGCAAUGGGUUGUUAGUGGCGAACGGUCGCGUAACACGUAAGCAACCUGCCUCGAAGUGGGGGACAACAGUCCGAAAGGUCUGCUAAUACCGCAUGUGGCCACUGGAUCGCAUGAUCUAGUGUCUAAAGGAUUUAUUCGCUUCGAGAUGGGCUUGCGGCCUAUCAGGUAGUUGGUGGGUAAUGGCCUACCAAGCCGACGACGGGUAGCUGGUCUGAGAGGACGAUCAGCCGGAUUGGGACUGAGAUACGGCCCAGACUCCUACGGGGGGCAGCAAUUAGGAAUCUUGCGCAAUGGGGGAAACCCUGACGCAGCGACGUCGCGUGAAGGAUGAAGGU
Molecule: ribosomal RNA, 385 nt
Filed under: uncultured bacterium
Lineage: Bacteria
Description: bacterial SSU rRNA
Rfam family: Bacterial small subunit ribosomal RNA
Source: RNAcentral